Molecule: ribosomal RNA, 492 nt
Filed under: uncultured bacterium
Lineage: Bacteria
Description: partial 16S ribosomal RNA
Rfam family: Bacterial small subunit ribosomal RNA
Source: RNAcentral
AGUGAACGCUGGCGGUAGGCCUAACACAUGCAAGUCGAACGGCGGCACAGUAAGAGCUUGCUCUUACGGGUGGCGAGUGGCGGACGGGUGAGGAAUACAUCGGAAUCUACUUUUUCGUGGGGGAUAACGUAGGGAAACUUACGCUAAUACCGCAUACGACCUACGGGUGAAAGCAGGGGAUCUCCGGACCUUGCGCGAUUGAAUGAGCCGAUGUCGGAUUAGCUAGUUGGCGGGGUAAAGGCCCACCAAGGCGACGAUCCGUAGCUGGUCUGAGAGGAUGAUCAGCCACACUGGAACUGAGACACGGUCCAGACUCCUACGGGAGGCAGCAGUGGGGAAUAUUGGACAAUGGGCGCAAGCCUGAUCCAGCCAUACCGCGUGGGUGAAGAAGGCCUUCGGGUUGUAAAGCCCUUUUGUUGGGAAAGAAAAGCAGCAGGUUAAUACCCCGCUGUUCUGACGGUACCCAAAGAAUAAGCACCGGCUAACUUCGUG